ACUAAACCUAGCCCACACAUAUCCCCUUUCUACUACUACAAGUAAAUAAACCAAAACAUUCACCAUACGUCUAAAGUAUAGGAGAUAGAAAUUUAAAAUAUCCAUGGCGCUAUAGAGAUAGUACCGUAAGGGAAAGAUGAAAGAAACACCAAAAGUAAAAAAAAGCAAAGCUUACCCCUUGUACCUUUUGCAUAAUGACUUAACUAGUAACAACUUAGCAAAGAGACCUUAAGUUAAACUACCCGAAACCAGACGAGCUACUUAAGAGCAGUUACUAGAACGAACUCAUCUAUGUAGCAAAAUAGUGAGAGGACUUUUAAGUAGAGGUAAAAAGCCUAACGAGCCUGGUGAUAGCUGGUUGUCCAAGAAAAGAAUCUCAGUUCACCAUUAAAUAAUACUAAAACCCACAUUAAGUCUUAACGUAUAUUUAAUAGCUAAUCUAAAAAGGUACAGCUUUUUAGAAAUGGAUACACCCUUGACUAGAGAGUAACAAAACCACAAAACCAUAGUAGGCCUAAAAGCAGCCAUCAAUUAAGAAAGCGUUCAAGCUCAACAACACAAUAACCCCUUAAUUUCAAUAAUAGACAAUCAACUCCUAGCAUGACUACUGGACUAAUCUAUAUAAACAUAGAAGCAAUACUGUUAACAUGAGUAACAAGAAAACUUUCUCCUUGCACAAAUUUAUACCAGUGACUGAUACUAUACUGAUAGUUAACAGCCCAUAAAUAUAACCUAACACUAAACUCUUUAUUAAAACACUGUUAGCCCAACACAGGUGUGCACUAAGGAAAGAUUAAAAAAAGUAAAAGGAACUCGGCAAACACAAACCCCGCCUGUUUACCAAAAACAUCACCUCUAGCAUAACCAGUAUUAGAGGCACUGCCUGCCCAGUGACAAUCGUUAAACGGCCGCGGUAUUCUGACCGUGCAAAGGUAGCAUAAUCACUUGUUCUCUAAAUAAGGACUUGCAUGAAUGGCCACACGAGGGUUUUACUGUCUCUUACUUUCAAUCAGUGAAAUUGACCUCCCCGUGAAGAGGCGGGGAUAAUUAAAUAAGACGAGAAGACCCUAUGGAACUUUAAUUAAUUAAUCCAACAAAAUAUAAAUUUAAACCACCCAAGGGAUAACAAACUUUUAUAUGGGUUAACAAUUUCGGUUGGGGUGACCUCGGAGCAUAAAAAAACCUCCGAGUGAUUAAAGCCUAGGCCUACCAGCCAAAGCACACAUCACUUAUUGAUCCAAACUAUUGAUCAACGGAACAAGCUACCCUAGGGAUAACAGCGCAAUCCUAUUCUAGAGUCCAUAUCGACAAUAGGGUUUACGACCUCGAUGUUGGAUCAGGACAUCCUGAUGGUGCAACCGCUAUUAAGGGUUCGUUUGUUCAACGAUUAAAGUCCUACGUGAUCUGAGUUCAGACCGGAGUAAUCCAGGUCGGGUUCUAUCUAUUAUGCAUUUCUCCCAGCACGAAAGGACAAGAGAAAUAAGGGCAACUUCCAACAAGCGCCUUCAAUUAAUUAAUGAUUUAAUCUCAACUUAAUAAACAAGCACAAAUUAUACCCACCCAAGACCAGGGUUUU
This 1576-nucleotide ribosomal RNA is filed under the name Platanista minor (Indus River dolphin). RNAcentral describes it as "16S ribosomal RNA". It matches the Rfam family "Bacterial large subunit ribosomal RNA", at positions 379 to 2925 of the family's 2925-position model. Lineage: Eukaryota; Metazoa; Chordata; Mammalia; Artiodactyla; Platanistidae. The record is from RNAcentral.